GAUGAACGCUGGCGGCGUGCCUAAUACAUGCAAGUCGAGCGAACAGACGAGGCGCUUGCUCCUUUGACGUUUGCGGCGGACGGGUGAGUAACACGUAUGUAACCUACCUAUAUGACUGGGAUAACUUCGGGAAACCGGAGCUAAUACCGGAUAAUAUUUCGAACCGCAUGGUUCGAUAGUGAAAGAUGGCUUUGCUAUCACUUAUAGAUGGACCUGCGCCGUAUUAGCUAGUUGGUAAGGUAACGGCUUACCAAGGCAACGAUACGUAGCCGACCUGAGAGGGUGAUCGGCCACACUGGAACUGAGACACGGACCAGACGCCUACGGGAGGCAGCAGUAGGGAAUCGUCCGCAAUGGGCGAAAGCCUGACGGAGCAACGCCGCGUGAGUGAUGAAGGUGUUCGGAUCGUAAAACUCUGUUAUUAGGGAAGAACAAACGUGUAAGUAACUGUGCACGUCUUGACGGUACCUAAUCAGAAAGCCACGGCUAACUACGUG
This 497-nucleotide ribosomal RNA is filed under the name uncultured bacterium. Its description in RNAcentral is "partial 16S ribosomal RNA". It matches the Rfam family "Bacterial small subunit ribosomal RNA", at positions 28 to 507 of the family's 1533-position model. The record is from RNAcentral.